GGGGAAUAUUGCACAAUGGGGGAAACCCUGAUGCAGCGACGCCGCGUGAAGGAAGAAGUAUCUCGGUAUGUAAACUUCUAUCAGCAGGGAAGAUAGUGACGGUACCUGACUAAGAAGCCCCGGCUAACUACGUGCCAGCAGCCGCGGUAAUACGUAGGGGGCAAGCGUUAUCCGGAUUUACUGGGUGUAAAGGGAGCGUAGACGGUGUGGCAAGUCUGAUGUGAAAGGCAUGGGCUCAACCUGUGGACUGCAUUGGAAACUGUCAUACUUGAGUGCCGGAGGGGUAAGCGGAAUUCCUAGUGUAGCGGUGAAAUGCGUAGAUAUUAGGAGGAACACCAGUGGCGAAGGCGGCUUACUGGACGGUAACUGACGUUGAGGCUCGAAAGCGUGGGGAGCAAAC
RNAcentral lists this ribosomal RNA (400 nucleotides) under uncultured bacterium. RNAcentral's name for it is "bacterial SSU rRNA". It matches the Rfam family "Bacterial small subunit ribosomal RNA", at positions 356 to 773 of the family's 1533-position model. The record is from RNAcentral.